RNAcentral lists this transfer RNA (84 nucleotides) under Cherax quadricarinatus. Its description in RNAcentral is "transfer RNA leucine (anticodon CAG)". It matches the Rfam family "tRNA". Rfam says of the family: Transfer RNA (tRNA) molecules are approximately 80 nucleotides in length. Their secondary structure includes four short double-helical elements and three loops (D, anti-codon, and T loops). Lineage: Eukaryota; Metazoa; Arthropoda; Malacostraca; Decapoda; Parastacidae. The record is from RNAcentral.
GUCAGGAUGGCCGAGCGGUCCAAGGCGCUGCGUUCAGGUCGCAGUCCGGACUUCCGGGCGUGGGUUCGAAUCCCACUUCUGACA